CGUUUUGAUGUGAGAUCAGACACGGCGAAGAGUCGGCCGAGCUUUGAGUUCUUCAAAUCACGGGGGGGAAAGGCGACGAAGGCCGUCGUCUAUCUCCGCGUGCACUCGCUUUGCGUCUCGUUUAUUGGCCUCGUUUAUUGGCGGACCCCCACCCCCCCACUCCCCCCCCGAUAGCUGCCAGCCGUGAAAGGCCCGUGAGCCGGCGCUGGCAGCGUGCCCCGCCGCAGCAGGUGCAGCCCGAGCGGGAGAUAAGGAGAAGGUGCUGACGCAUUCGCCGAUCGACUUAAGAAAAAACGCUGAUUGAGACGAUUGAUGCCGGGCUACUUUCUCGCCGCGGGGACGCGUGGGUGGCCCCCGUUCCUGUGGGAUUGGAGGCGGGUUUGGGGGGGUGGGGAAGGUAAAAUAAAAGUGCCAGGGCUCCUGUGUCGACGUCGUGGAAAAUCGUCCUCAGCGGUUUCCUGCGGGUCUCCAUUAUCAGGCCUCGUUGGUAGACCAGCUUUUCCCCCCCCGACUUCCUGCCUCGUUUCCUCCCCUUCCAACCCGCUUCCCCUCCCACACUCCCCUCAAUCACAUGAAUCAACGCUGCCAGGGAGAGAGGGCGAGGUGCCGGCUAUAAACCACACUGCUAACUUACUAAAAGUCAAGUUACUACGCGUAGUUUUCAUUGUGCAGCGAGCUCAUUUCUUCACGUAGCGUCGGGUAGUCGCGCGCAUCACCGCGUCGCUCUGGGUUUUUAUUUCAUUAAUCCUGCUGUGAGAGCUGCGUGAGGUUCCCCUCUUCCCUGUUGGACGUGAAACCACGAUGCCGGUCAGGACGGAGCUUCUCCUGUUCAGACGUGGUUGGCAAGCCCUUAAAAACCAGCACAGCUCCGGCCAAUAAGUAGAAAACCCAGAAAGCGUAGGAUGACGUGAGACUUGAGCAACGAGACGGUUCCCCUCGUUCCCGGAUAUGUGGCAACUUACACAAGUGUAACAACGAACAUUCUGGGAAGGUUAAGGAGGUUAAGGUGGACCACUGAUGAUUUGAGCUUUGGGGUCGCGCUUUGGCCGCGCAACACUUGGCAGUGCGCGUCGUUGCCAGGACGACGUCCACAAACGCACUCCUACCCGAUGAAGAUGAGGGCUGAAGGACGUGGAUGCGGGUCAGCGAACACACAGAAAGAGGCGAAAUUGAGAGGGAGCCUCAAACGCUUAGAAACCUUGCAUUUAAUUUGAGUGCGAACCAGCGGGGGAUGGGAGAGAGAGAAGAGGGAGAGAAUAAAGAAGAUAAGUGUGCCUAUUGUACGUGUGAAUGAGAAGGAACAGGGCGUAGGGAGGCAGAGAGAGAGAACGUGAAGGCUGGAGGGAUACAAGCAUGACUAAUCUCGCUGUCAUCCGUAGAAAAAACAAAUCCACAGUAAACCUUUCUCACAGCUUUCCAUCAAUCGCAGAGGGUUUGAUCUAUGGCGGCGAUCGGCGUGCCUCCCGGGGAAGGUCGGGCUGUUGUUUCGCCACAGGACGUGACACAGAGCAUGUGUGAGGCGCCUGAUAGAGAGGCAGAGGCCGACGAGAAAAGGAAAGAAAAUAAAGAGAGAGGGGAAAGGGAAGCACUUAGGUGUGCUUGAUAUCCCAUCAGCGCCCAGUACCCAUCUCAGGCGUGGAAAACCACCACCAUCGGGGUUCACUGCUGGCCCCCGAAAACCAGCCGGGGGGGGGCGGCCAGAGCCCCUUUUUGAGCCGAGAUCAAAUGGUGGACGGAUAAAAGCUUGAAAAACAAUGCCCCCCCCUCCCCUCCUCUCCCCCCCGUGUCCGAGAGCCAAAUAUGCAGCCGCAAUACGAGUUCCUUUUUGUUCUUGAAAAUGCUCCUCAGAUGCUUGACGCAAGACCAAGAGAGGGAGGAGGAAUAAAGGGGGGAGGGAAGGGGGGGGGGACAAAACAAACAGCAAUUAAGGUAGUUUGUGGAUCCGUUUGAAAGAUCCAUCCUUUAGGAAACAUCUGCCAUCUGUCUUGAUGCAGGAGGCCAGGAAAGGACUGAUUCGGAAUCCGUGCCUUUCUAAGCUGACGAUCCAACGCGCUCGCGCACGCUGCAACCAACAACACGGACACUCACACACAAGGUCUAUUUUUUGCUACAGUCCAAAAAAUAAAAAAUAAAGCAUUUAUAGUCUAAACACAGAUAAGACCCGUAUCACUUUGCCUUCGGCUGGAAAUUCCAGACAAGCGUCCAAUGGGCGCUGGAGGAUAAGGACAUAUCUUUUGAGGCAGAAAGCUCUUGGUUGUCUCACGGAGAGAAGUUUUUCACAAUCCGCAGCGACGAAAGUACACAGCUUCUAUCUGGCGUCCAGAUAUAAAGCGGGAAUGCCAAAGAGUACAAGCGUCUGACCCCGGAGGUCCCCGAGAGGAAGCAGGCAGAGAGCAAACUGUGAUCCACUGUGAGAGGUACACGGGGAAACACAAACAAUAGUUUCACAAAUGUGUCCCGUGCACUUUCCUGAGCGCGAACGCCGACGGACAGGGAUUGCAGGAGUAGGGAAACGCCGCUGCGCUGUUCUACUUCACAGGUAUUCAGGGAAAAAUCCAUAAUUCCGCCGGAGGGAUUCGUCAAUCAGUACAUCUGAAACGUUUCAGGCCGCGCGAAACGCCAAAGAGCUGCCCGGGGAAAUGAAAAGAUAAACGUGAAACAAGUCCGACACGGUGUGUUUACACCCCACAGUGAGGCGCUCAGCCCGCUCGUGCAAACUGCCGCCGCAGUAAGUCCAACAUGGCGGCGGCUCGAGUGGCUUGUUGUGCAAUAAACAGGGGCGCAGGCUGCAGGGCGCCGUUGUUUUUCAUGUCAACACUGGAGUUGUUCGACCAGAGGACACACACACACACACACACCUCUGUCCCUUUUGACCUGCUACUGUGAGGCACCUUUGACUCCAGCAGGACUCCCCGACACUCAGAUACAAAUUCAGUUGCGUUUCGUUUGUGCAUCGUGUUCAGCAUCAGCCUUUUGUCAAAAUGACGCAUCUCUUUUUAACAGGCAGCAAAGAGCCGCCGGAAUGCUUUGCUAAACAGUUCUGGGAUAGAAAUGUGUUUUGUGUGCAGCUCUUGAUUCCUUCAAGUGUUUACAAGCACAUCGACCAAUCGGGACCCGAGGUCGCUCUUGGACGGCUGGUUGGAAUAUCAAAACCAAAGAGGAGGAAAAAGAACACAGAACAAUCCAAAUCCCGCUUUUUUGUUCCCUCGUAGACUAAAUCUUCAAACUGGCGGGUUUGUGUUGCAACCAUUGGGGAGGUAAAGCAUUUGGGUGAUGCUCGCUGUCUGAAGUUAAAAAAAAACGUUUGCGGUUUGACAUUAAUUUGUGUGUCUCUGCAGCUCAGUCGGAUCAAAGCGGGUUUGUGGAUCCGGCCCUCGUCUGCGCUGUACGGUCACAUCAGAAAGGAAAGAUCCAUCUGUUCCUUGCUGAGAGGAGCGAGUAGGGCUCACAGGAGGGCGCGCACACACACACACACACACACACACAUCUCCCAUCACCAGCUGGAUCGGAGAAAAAGCAGCAAUUUGGCAACAGACGCUGAGCUCUCUAAUGGUUCCAUCCACCACGCCCUCCGCGCUGCACUCCUCCAUCAGCUCAAACCCGCUGACUGAAAAAACAAAAGUCCUAUUGCAACAUUCCUCCUGCAGAUUCACACACACACACACACACACAUGUACGCACUAUCCUGUUAACCACCCCCACUUCCAUGCAAUCAGAGGCUCAGAAUAGGAAGGAGGGAGAGGAAGCGGCCCUGCAUUCACAGGCUGGGAACAAGGAGAAGGAAAAACAGCCGGAACCUGGAAUUUACGGAGGAAAAAACAACGGCCAUCCAAAAAUACCUCAGGACCAUCUCCGCAGAUAAACAGAAACAUCAUUACUCUCAUCCUGCGGCUCGGGACAGUUUUUCCUUCCACACUUCCUUCCAUCUCAACUUUGCUUCCAGCGGCUCAAUAUCGAGGAAACUUCAAGUGGCAACCGCUCUUUUGAGAGGCAUUCGCCCCCCUCCACCUUCCACCCUCCGCCCCCAUGUGCUACUCAGGUCUUUCUGCUCCGGCCUUCCUCAGGUCAGGGAAGCCACGCAGAAGGUCCAAACCUCAUUAGGCCCGAAGCUAAUCAGCGCUAAGUGGAGCCGCCGGACAGCUGGUCUCCCUGCUGCUGGGGGACGAGUCCAGCCUCUUAAAUGUCGUGUUUAUUUACUUUCCAUUGUCCUUUAACUUCCUCGAGAGGAUUCACAAAGUUCUGCGUUUGCGCCGCAGUCACACGAGCUGGACGGGAGCUGCAACCUGAGGCUCCUCCGCUCGAGUGAUGCAUAGAUACGUGCGGGGGGGAGGGGGGGGAGGAGGGGGAGGACCGCCGCCGGCGUAGAAAGGCCGCGCGCUCUGAUCAGACAUCCGUUUUACGCAGAGAUCUGCUCCGUUCAGCAGGCAGAAGCUAAGCAGGUCGUCAUGUGACAGAGCCCUUCCUGUGGCUGGGAGGUGGGGGUCACCGACCCCCAGGUCAUUUCCUCCGACCUCUUCUUCCUAAUUGAUUCAAUUUCCGAGCCAUUGGUCUCCUAUUAGGAUGUUCUAAUAGACCCGUGCGCCUCCUCUUUAAUAUCUCCUUCUUUUGUCCCCAAAAUAAGGAGAAAUUCUUCACUCUGCGUUAUUAAAUGUUGUCUAACUCCACUCCGCUCUUUUGUAUAGCGAGGACAAUGACCUUUAAACGACAUAAUGAACCUUUCAGUGACGUAGCGGCGUUGUUGAUGUGGGUCUGCAAAAAAACGUAACAGUUUGACCUGAAAGUCACAACGGACUUUACUGCUGAUCGACUUCAUUACAAAUGUGUUUUCGGCCAUCGGUCGAUUACGGCCUUUAAUGUUAGUGGUGCAACGUCCCGCAUGCAGCUGAUACCAAGUAUUAUUUCCAUAGAAUGACACACUGACACGCCGGCAUGCUUUUUGAAACUUGACAUGUGGUUUUAAAAGAAUCAGACAUGAAACUCCAGAAUCUUCUUUUCCAUUUUAUUCCAUUAACGAGUUUCCUCUCUGCUACGGGAUCAUGUUUUUGGAGACUUUUGCACACUGAACUCGGUGACACAUGCCGCGGACAUUCGGGCGGCAGGUACCCAUGUGACCAGUAUUUUGCCUGCUCGAGGCUGCAGGCCGGGCAAGCGGGCGAGUCGGGCACCGCUUGGAGCAGCAGAGUCGCGCUCACUGUUUAAAAACAUUGUUCUAUAGUUAUUUUGCCGGUUGAGCAGACCCACGUCUUCCCUCGUGACACGGACACGUUGCUUUUCACCGGUUGCCGCUGCAUGAAGGAGACACGUCAGUGCGUCAAUGUCCAUAAACAGCUGCUGGGUCGGACCUGUUCCUGUGUUCAUGUAAACACACUGUGACAUCAGGGAAAUCAGACUCCGGAUUGUCCUGCUUCUGCUUUGGUCGGUUUGUUUGUGCUAUCAAACCUGACAGAACCUCCGGUGACGACAGCGCUUCUGCUCCGGAGAGAGAGGAGGCCCGGGGUCAGGUGGCGAGGAGGCCCGGGGGUCAGGUGGUGAGGAGGCCGAGGUCAGGUGGUGAGGAGGCCGGGGUCAGGUGGCGAGGAGGCCCGGGGGUCAGGUGGUGAGGAGGCCCGGGGGUCAGGUGGUGAGGAGGCCGAGGUCAGGUGGCGAGGACGGCCGAGGUCAGGUGGCGAGGAGGCCCGGGGUUGGGUGGCGAGGAGGCCGAGGUCAGGAGGCGAGGACGCCGGGGCAAUGAAACGGCGUUCAUUAUUAACGAUGGCGACGCAGAGCAAAAACAUUGACGUUUGACCAAAAAACGACGGACCACACAGUUGCCCAAAAACAAACAUUUCGAUUUGCUUGUUCUAAUCUGCGGAGGCACUCGGCCUCACGUGGGGGAGGAAUCUUUCUGUUUCGGGAUUCUUUAUAGAAUAACAAGACAGAAUGUUUGCUUAGAUUCACUGGAGUUAACAAACAUCAGCGGAGUCGCUGGCGAGCAAAAACGAGAACGAUCCCGAGUCCCGGCUGGUUGCUGAUGCGGCGCCUCCGUCUGAUGGCGGCGUCCCGCCUCUCGCCGGGAAUACGUGUCUUCAUCUGCAGCACUUUGUGUUUAUUAGUUCUGGUGUCUGACAUUUUCCCAACGCAACGUCUUAUUUAAACAAGCGCACGCUGCUUUAAUCACAAACUCCUCUUUUAAGGUAAAUACAAGCGGAUGGCCUGUCAGAUCGGCAUUUCACAAAAACGGCAUUUCAGACGUGUGUGUGCACACACAUCGUGUGUGUGUGUGUGUGUGUGUGUGUGUGUGUGUGUGUGUGUGUGUGUGUGUUGGCCCCACUGAGAGCGUUAUUACAAAGAGCCAAUAAGAGCGAAGGACCACACUCUAGCACAUCCUGUUUGACUUGACCUCAGAGGAUAUUCUCCUUUCCCAAGCAAACAAACCGCCGGGCUUUUUGGAUCGUACCAACGUCGGAGGGGAAGGGAGGGGACGGGGGACGGGGGACGGGGGACGGGGGGGUCAGGGGGUAGUUUUUGGGAGCAGAGAGACGAGAAAUAAAUACUGCAAGACGAGGUUUUAUCUCUGAGAACACGCCGGCUUACUAAUUGUGUACUGACAACAAAUGAAUGCAAGCCCAAAUAUUCACCUAUUUCUUUUUGUCAAUUCAUUGGCCAAUAAUUUUCAACAUUCAGCAAAUGGGAACCCGUUGGAAUCACUAAAGCGAUAUAUCAAUCAUCAAAUUAGUUGCAGAUUAACUCAACACAAAUCACUGGAAGAGUCUACAUGUCUAAACCUCAGGGCCACAGAUCAGCAAAAACCGGUCACGCCCGUACAAACCAUUUGAAAGCAGCUUUUCAAACCGUCCUCCGUGACGUUCAAAUCACUGCGAUUGUGUGUUUUAAGAACUUCGUAAGCUGAAAAAAACGCGAAAAAACACGCGUGAGCGAGGCCCGUGAGGCGCGUUAAAUCGGCGACAAAAUAAGGAAGAACACAGCAGGAGUCCUUGCUAAUCGGCGGCCUAUCGUGCACUACAUGCUCACGAUUUUGUUCUCAGCAAUAAUUAUCAGAGCGAACGAAGGUUCUGUGUUCGUGGUGAAACGAAAUCCAAUGCUUGAAUCAACUUCAAGCAAGCGGCUGUCACUAUAUUUAGCCUAUAGACCCUGUGUUUCCAUGGCUACCAGGGUUGAAGCGAGCCGAAGGCCGCAACAUUCAUGCGAUCUAUGUGCUCGGGAUCAUUUCAGUAAUCACAGCAUGACUUGUGAAUCAUUUCCACCUGGGUCCCAUAAUGCGAUCCCACCUAAAUUUCAUUAACAGACACGCUGCUUCCAAUUUAAAGGGUUUUUUUCCCCUAAAGGCUCCCUGCCCACUUUUCAGAGAAGCCUUUUUCUGUGCAACUGAAACAUUUUAUUUAAUUCCCUCAAAGCAGGAGAAUCUGUUUUGGAUUCACUUGGACUUCAGUUACACUCGAAUCCAACCGACGACUGAGACUUUUAUUCCUGCUCAGCAACUCAUUGGACCCCAAACUGAACUGAGGAGCAGCUGACCUCCACCCCGUCCGCCGGCGGGGAAGGUGAGUUCUGGCGACGGUCAGCAGCUCCCCGGCGGCCGGUGUUGCCGGUGGACUCGUCCACAGGUGGGUGCUGGUCCACGGCUGUUUGUAGUAAACACCGAAAAGUCAGACUAAUAGAAAGAAAGUUCCAAAACAGAACAUGGUGGGUGGGUGGGGGGGGGGGGGCACAUAUGUGUGAAGGGUCAACGUUUGCCUUUGGGUCUGGUCACACAUCCACGGUAUAUUUCCGCCACUUAAAUCCAAAAUGGCGUGACUGUUAUUCCCAUUCCCACCAGAGAAAACCAGUAAACGUGUUUUUUCGCGGAUCGAAUAACUGCGUAAAGGACUUCGGGUUUCAGAGCGAUUUACGAUAUUCAACUUUGACGUUGGUUCAUCAAAGGAGCGAAGCGCUCUUAACUUCUCCGCCUCUGUGGGUCACGUCCUCCGCCUGCGGCCGCGGCCGGAUGAGAACGCCAGAGAGGCUCCGAUCCGCUUUCAUGUGGGUCACCGUGGACUUCCUCAAGGGGGCUUUUUCAGGUGCGGCUCCGGGGG
This is a long non-coding RNA of Gasterosteus aculeatus aculeatus (three-spined stickleback), 8072 nucleotides long. Lineage: Eukaryota; Metazoa; Chordata; Actinopteri; Perciformes; Gasterosteidae. The record is from Ensembl.